RNAcentral lists this ribosomal RNA (478 nucleotides) under uncultured bacterium. Its description in RNAcentral is "partial 16S ribosomal RNA". It matches the Rfam family "Bacterial small subunit ribosomal RNA", at positions 28 to 507 of the family's 1533-position model. The record is from RNAcentral.
GACGAACGCUGGCGGCGUGCUUAACACAUGCAAGUCGAACGUGAUUUUUGUGGAAAUUCUUUCGGGAAUGGAAAUGAAAUGAAAGUGGCGAACGGGUGAGUAACACGUUAGCAACCUACCUUACACAGGGGGAUAGCCGUUGGAAACGACGAUUAAUACCGCAUGAGACCACAGAAUCGCAUGAUAUAGGGGUCAAAGAUUUAUCGGUGUAAGAAGGGCUCGCGUCUGAUUAGCUAGUUGGAAGGGUAAAGGCCUACCAAGGCGACGAUCAGUAGCCGGUCUGAGAGGAUGAACGGCCACAUUGGAACUGAGACACGGUCCAAACUCCUACGGGAGGCAGCAGUGGGGAAUAUUGCACAAUGGGGGGAACCCUGAUGCAGCGACGCCGCGUGAGCGAAGAAGGUUUUCGAAUCGUAAAGCUCUGUCCUAUGAGAAGAUAAUGACGGUAUCAUAGGAGGAAGCCCCGGCUAAAUACGUG